GGCGAGUGAAGAGGGAAGAGCCCAAGAUUGAAAGCUGGCGUCUUCGGCGUCCGCAUUGUAAUCUCAAGAAGUGUUUUCCGCUUCGGACCAUGCCUAAGUCCCUUGGAAAAGGGCAUCAUAGAGGGUGAUAAUCCCGUACAUGGCAUGGAGCGCCCGAGGCUUUGUGAUACGCUUUCUAAGAGUCGAGUUGUUUGGGAAUGCAGCUCAAAAUGGGUGGUAAAUGCCAUCUAAGGCUAAAUAUUGGGGAGAGACCGAUAGCGAACAAGUACAGUGAUGGAAAGAUGAAAAGAACUUUGAAAAGAGAGUUAAACAGUACGUGAAAUUGCCAAAAGGGAAGGGUAGGAGGUCAGAGAUGCGUCUUGGGAUUCAGCCUUGCUUUUGCUUGGUGUUUUUCCCAAGUUGCAGGCCAACGUCGGUUUUGGGCACUGGAGAAGGGUGGAAGGAACGUGGCACCUCUCGGGGUGUGUUAUAGCCUUCUACUGGAUACAGCGACCGAGACCGAGGACAGCAGCGUACUCGCAAGAGCGGGCCUUCGGGCACCUUUACGCUUAGGGCGUUGGCAUAAUGGCCCUCUACCACCCGUCUUGAACCACGGGACCA
RNAcentral lists this ribosomal RNA (600 nucleotides) under Anthracocystis elionuri. RNAcentral's name for it is "LSU rRNA". It matches the Rfam family "Eukaryotic large subunit ribosomal RNA", at positions 88 to 664 of the family's 3401-position model. Lineage: Eukaryota; Fungi; Basidiomycota; Ustilaginomycetes; Ustilaginales; Ustilaginaceae. The record is from RNAcentral.